RNAcentral lists this ribosomal RNA (1183 nucleotides) under Dermacoccus sp. RNAcentral's name for it is "bacterial SSU rRNA". It matches the Rfam family "Bacterial small subunit ribosomal RNA", at positions 124 to 1322 of the family's 1533-position model. The record is from RNAcentral. Lineage: Bacteria; Bacillati; Actinomycetota; Actinomycetes; Micrococcales; Dermacoccaceae.
ACCUGCCCCUCACUCUGGGAUAAGCCUGGGAAACUGGGUCUAAUACUGGAUACGACCGAUCUCCGCAUGGAGUGUUGGUGGAAAGUUUUUGUGGUGGGGGAUGGACUCGCGGCCUAUCAGCUUGUUGGUGGGGUAAUGGCCUACCAAGGCGACGACGGGUAGCCGGCCUGAGAGGGCGACCGGCCACACUGGGACUGAGACACGGCCCAGACUCCUACGGGAGGCAGCAGUGGGGAAUAUUGCACAAUGGGCGAAAGCCUGAUGCAGCGACGCCGCGUGAGGGAUGACGGCCUUCGGGUUGUAAACCUCUUUCACCAGGGACGAAGCUAACGUGACGGUACCUGGAGAAGAAGCACCGGCUAACUACGUGCCAGCAGCCGCGGUAAUACGUAGGGUGCGAGCGUUGUCCGGAAUUAUUGGGCGUAAAGAGCUUGUAGGCGGUUUGUCGCGUCUGCUGUGAAAGACCGGGGCUUAACUCCGGUUCUGCAGUGGGUACGGGCAGACUAGAGUGUGGUAGGGGAGACUGGAAUUCCUGGUGUAGCGGUGAAAUGCGCAGAUAUCAGGAGGAACACCGAUGGCGAAGGCAGGUCUCUGGGCCAUUACUGACGCUGAGAAGCGAAAGCAUGGGGAGCGAACAGGAUUAGAUACCCUGGUAGUCCAUGCCGUAAACGUUGGGCGCUAGGUGUGGGACUCAUUCCACGAGUUCCGUGCCGCAGCUAACGCAUUAAGCGCCCCGCCUGGGGAGUACGGCCGCAAGGCUAAAACUCAAAGGAAUUGACGGGGGCCCGCACAAGCGGCGGAGCAUGCGGAUUAAUUCGAUGCAACGCGAAGAACCUUACCAAGGCUUGACAUACACCGGAAUCAUGCAGAGAUGUGUGCGUCUUCGGACUGGUGUACAGGUGGUGCAUGGUUGUCGUCAGCUCGUGUCGUGAGAUGUUGGGUUAAGUCCCGCAACGAGCGCAACCCUCGUUCCAUGUUGCCAGCACUUCGGGUGGGGACUCAUGGGAGACUGCCGGGGUCAACUCGGAGGAAGGUGGGGAUGACGUCAAAUCAUCAUGCCCCUUAUGUCUUGGGCUUCACGCAUGCUACAAUGGCCGGUACAGAGGGUUGCGAAACCGUGAGGUGGAGCUAAUCCCAAAAAACCGGUCUCAGUUCGGAUUGGGGUCUGCAACUCGACCCCAUG